CAGCCGUGCUGCCCGUAGCAUUGCUCGCAGUGCUGCCCAGCAGAAAGUAGAGACGGAUCUGCAAUUGGAUUUUGAGGCAGCGUACAACCGGCUUGUAGAACAGUACCCGGUGACUCUGGAGGGUGGAGCACCAGAUAAGGCUCUCCGCGCUGACAUACCACCUAGCUUUCAGCGGAAGUUGAAACGAGCGAUGGGUGAAGGCCCAGAUGAAACUGCGCAAGCAGCAUAUUCACUCGUGCUUUGGCCCUCACCUACCCAGUGAAGAAAAGGUCAGCAAGUGGAUCUCUGAUCAGGGAUGGAGGAGCAACAUACCCAGUACAGCCCAGUUCGUAAAAGAACGGAAGCCCCAUUCUUGAAGCUUUCUUCCUGGACUGGUCCACUGCACACCACGAGGAGCUCUCUGAUGGUUCGCUGUCCAACCCUGUUGGCUGUGUGGCUCUGGAGGAGGAAGGCCCUGACCUCUCAAUGGAAACAGACCUUCAAAAUGAAAACCCUAAACACAAG
Molecule: long non-coding RNA, 504 nt
Organism: Ictalurus punctatus (channel catfish)
Lineage: Eukaryota; Metazoa; Chordata; Actinopteri; Siluriformes; Ictaluridae
Source: Ensembl